GUCACAACAGAGAAGCCACUGGUGUCUUUAGUGUCUGUGUACUGCGGUUUCAAAAUGACACGACCACAGAAGAAAACAUCCAGUUCUACAUUAAAUCGGGUGUGUUAAUGUGUGCAUCACAGGCAGCAGGUUGAUAAAGAUCUUGAACAUCUUGGUGCUAAUCACAGGUUUCAAGCAGCAACCUGCUCUCUCAUUGGCCUGGUUCACAUUACACACUUGCAUGCCUGUCGUGUGUGCGGUUUCAGUUUCUUUUCUGCAACAACAGAAAUGCUAC
Sander lucioperca (pikeperch) is the source of this 274-nucleotide long non-coding RNA. RefSeq lists it as uncharacterized. The record is from RefSeq and is a predicted model, not a curated record. NCBI's taxonomy places the organism in Eukaryota, Metazoa, Chordata, Actinopteri, Perciformes, Percidae. The transcript is spliced from 2 exons.